RNAcentral lists this ribosomal RNA (1550 nucleotides) under Klebsiella variicola. RNAcentral's name for it is "bacterial SSU rRNA". It matches the Rfam family "Bacterial small subunit ribosomal RNA". Lineage: Bacteria; Pseudomonadati; Pseudomonadota; Gammaproteobacteria; Enterobacterales; Enterobacteriaceae. The record is from RNAcentral.
AAAUUGAAGAGUUUGAUCAUGGCUCAGAUUGAACGCUGGCGGCAGGCCUAACACAUGCAAGUCGAGCGGUAGCACAGAGAGCUUGCUCUCGGGUGACGAGCGGCGGACGGGUGAGUAAUGUCUGGGAAACUGCCUGAUGGAGGGGGAUAACUACUGGAAACGGUAGCUAAUACCGCAUAACGUCGCAAGACCAAAGUGGGGGACCUUCGGGCCUCAUGCCAUCAGAUGUGCCCAGAUGGGAUUAGCUGGUAGGUGGGGUAACGGCUCACCUAGGCGACGAUCCCUAGCUGGUCUGAGAGGAUGACCAGCCACACUGGAACUGAGACACGGUCCAGACUCCUACGGGAGGCAGCAGUGGGGAAUAUUGCACAAUGGGCGCAAGCCUGAUGCAGCCAUGCCGCGUGUGUGAAGAAGGCCUUCGGGUUGUAAAGCACUUUCAGCGGGGAGGAAGGCGGUGAGGUUAAUAACCUCACCGAUUGACGUUACCCGCAGAAGAAGCACCGGCUAACUCCGUGCCAGCAGCCGCGGUAAUACGGAGGGUGCAAGCGUUAAUCGGAAUUACUGGGCGUAAAGCGCACGCAGGCGGUCUGUCAAGUCGGAUGUGAAAUCCCCGGGCUCAACCUGGGAACUGCAUUCGAAACUGGCAGGCUAGAGUCUUGUAGAGGGGGGUAGAAUUCCAGGUGUAGCGGUGAAAUGCGUAGAGAUCUGGAGGAAUACCGGUGGCGAAGGCGGCCCCCUGGACAAAGACUGACGCUCAGGUGCGAAAGCGUGGGGAGCAAACAGGAUUAGAUACCCUGGUAGUCCACGCUGUAAACGAUGUCGAUUUGGAGGUUGUGCCCUUGAGGCGUGGCUUCCGGAGCUAACGCGUUAAAUCGACCGCCUGGGGAGUACGGCCGCAAGGUUAAAACUCAAAUGAAUUGACGGGGGCCCGCACAAGCGGUGGAGCAUGUGGUUUAAUUCGAUGCAACGCGAAGAACCUUACCUGGUCUUGACAUCCACAGAACUUAGCAGAGAUGCUUUGGUGCCUUCGGGAACUGUGAGACAGGUGCUGCAUGGCUGUCGUCAGCUCGUGUUGUGAAAUGUUGGGUUAAGUCCCGCAACGAGCGCAACCCUUAUCCUUUGUUGCCAGCGGUUAGGCCGGGAACUCAAAGGAGACUGCCAGUGAUAAACUGGAGGAAGGUGGGGAUGACGUCAAGUCAUCAUGGCCCUUACGACCAGGGCUACACACGUGCUACAAUGGCAUAUACAAAGAGAAGCGACCUCGCGAGAGCAAGCGGACCUCAUAAAGUAUGUCGUAGUCCGGAUUGGAGUCUGCAACUCGACUCCAUGAAGUCGGAAUCGCUAGUAAUCGUAGAUCAGAAUGCUACGGUGAAUACGUUCCCGGGCCUUGUACACACCGCCCGUCACACCAUGGGAGUGGGUUGCAAAAGAAGUAGGUAGCUUAACCUUCGGGAGGGCGCUUACCACUUUGUGAUUCAUGACUGGGGUGAAGUCGUAACAAGGUAACCGUAGGGGAACCUGCGGUUGGAUCACCUCCUUACCUUAAAGAA